CAGUCGAACGAGCGAGAGAGGGCUUGCUUUCUCAAGCGAGUGGCGAACCGGUGAGUAACGCGUGAGGAACCUGCCUCAAAGAGGGGGACAACAGUUGGAAACGACUGCUAAUACCGCAUAAGCCCACGACCCGGCAUCGGGUAGAGGGAAAAGGAGCAAUCCGCUUUGAGAUGGCCUCGCGUCCGAUUAGCUAGUUGGUGAGGUAAUGGCCCACCAAGGCGACGAUCGGUAGCCGGACUGAGAGGUUGAACGGCCACAUUGGGACUGAGACACGGCCCAGACUCCUACGGGAGGCAGCAGUGGGGAAUAUUGCACAAUGGGGGAAACCCUGAUGCAGCGACGCCGCGUGGAGAAAGAAGGUCUUCGGAUUGUAAACUCCUGUUGUUGAGGAAGAUAAUGACGGUACUCAACAAGGAAGUGACGGCUAACUACGUGCCAGCAGCCGCGGUAAAACGUAGGUCACAAGCGUUGUCCGGAAUUACUGGGUGUAAAGGGAGCGCAGGCGGGAAGACAAGUUGGAAGUGAAAUCCAUGGGCUCAACCCAUGAACUGCUUUCAAAACUGUUUUUCUUGAGUAGUGCAGAGGUAGGCGGAAUUCCCGGUGUAGCGGUGGAAUGCGUAGAUAUCGGGAGGAACACCAGUGGCGAAGGCGGCCUACUGGGCACCAACUGACGCUGAGGCUCGAAAGUGUGGGUAGCAAACAGGAUUAGAUACCCUGGUAGUCCACACUGUAAACGAUGAUUACUAGGUGUUGGAGGAUUGACCCCUUCAGUGCCGCAGUUAACACAAUAAGUAAUCCACCUGGGGAGUACGACCGCAAGGUUGAAACUCAAAGGAAUUGACGGGGGCCCGCACAAGCAGUGGAGUAUGUGG
This 872-nucleotide ribosomal RNA is filed under the name uncultured bacterium. RNAcentral describes it as "bacterial SSU rRNA". It matches the Rfam family "Bacterial small subunit ribosomal RNA", at positions 59 to 944 of the family's 1533-position model. The record is from RNAcentral.